RNAcentral lists this ribosomal RNA (253 nucleotides) under uncultured bacterium. Its description in RNAcentral is "partial 16S ribosomal RNA". It matches the Rfam family "Bacterial small subunit ribosomal RNA", at positions 524 to 776 of the family's 1533-position model. The record is from RNAcentral.
UACGUAGGGGGCAAGCGUUGUCCGGAAUCAUUGGGCGUAAAGCGCGCGUAGGCGGCCCGGUAAGUCCGUUGUGAAAGUCAAAGGCUCAACCUUUGAAUGCCGACGGAUACUGCCGGGCUAGAGUACGGAAGAGGCGAGUGGAAUUCCUGGUGUAGCGGUGGAAUGCGCAGAUAUCAGGAGGAACACCGGUGGCGAAGGCGGUUCUCUGGGCAUGUCCUGACGCUGAGGAGCGAAAGUGUGGGGAGCGAACAGG